GGAGGGAUGGCCGAGCGGUCGAAGGCGGCAGUCUUGAAAAUUGCUAGACCUCGCAAGGGGUCUCAUGGGUUCGAAUCCCAUUCCCUCCG
This 89-nucleotide transfer RNA is filed under the name Acidimicrobiia bacterium. RNAcentral's name for it is "tRNA-Ser". It matches the Rfam family "tRNA". From Rfam's summary of the family: Transfer RNA (tRNA) molecules are approximately 80 nucleotides in length. Their secondary structure includes four short double-helical elements and three loops (D, anti-codon, and T loops). Further hydrogen bonds mediate the characteristic L-shaped molecular structure. tRNAs have two regions of fundamental functional importance: the anti-codon, which is responsible for specific mRNA codon recognition, and the 3' end, to which the tRNAs corresponding amino acid is attached (by aminoacyl-tRNA synthetases). tRNAs cope with the degeneracy of the genetic code in two manners: having more than one tRNA (with a specific anti-codon) for a particular amino acid; and 'wobble' base-pairing, i.e. permitting non-standard base-pairing at the 3rd anti-codon position. Lineage: Bacteria; Bacillati; Actinomycetota; Acidimicrobiia. The record is from RNAcentral. RNAcentral also lists the same sequence under 2 other names.